This 68-nucleotide transfer RNA is filed under the name Solenodon paradoxus paradoxus. Its description in RNAcentral is "tRNA-Lys". RNAcentral also lists the same sequence under 1 other name. The record is from RNAcentral. Lineage: Eukaryota; Metazoa; Chordata; Mammalia; Eulipotyphla; Solenodontidae.
CAUUAAGAAGCUAACGCAGCAUUAACCUUUUAAGUUAAAGAAUGAAGAACUAAUUACUUCCUUAAUGG